This is a long non-coding RNA of Limulus polyphemus (Atlantic horseshoe crab), 111 nucleotides long. RefSeq lists it as uncharacterized. The record is from RefSeq and is a predicted model, not a curated record. The transcript has 3 exons. Lineage: Eukaryota; Metazoa; Arthropoda; Merostomata; Xiphosura; Limulidae.
UACUUUUAAUACAAAUGCUUUUGUAACACAUCUGAUGUUUUGUGUAAAACAUAUUUGUACAUGUUACCAAAAAUUUGCCACAUUUUCUGUAGAUUUACGUGUAGUAACUUU